Molecule: long non-coding RNA, 1703 nt
Filed under: Mus musculus (house mouse)
Lineage: Eukaryota; Metazoa; Chordata; Mammalia; Rodentia; Muridae
Description: predicted gene, 46430
Source: RNAcentral
GGAAGUUUGUUUUUGCUCUGCAGGAUUGAAGGGUUCUCCCUAUGCUGCUUUGAGCGCUGCUAUUGGGUGCCUUGAGGGGACCUCAAGUAAGCUCCAUUUUUGAAACAUGAGUCAAAGCCCCGGUGAAGAUUCUGUGACGGUUCAUUGUAUAAUUUAUGAUGAUGAAGAUUGAGUUGCAUUUUGCGGAAAAGAGAUGUUGAGAUAUCUAAGGCAUUGAGAAAUCUGUCAUGCAGACAUGCACACAGGGAGAGGGAGUACCCAAACUGAUGAGAACUUACAGGAAUUGGACCAUCUAAGCCCUUAGAAAGUGAAGUCCACUGUGUCUCAAACAAAGGAUGGCAAGUGUUCAUGACAUCAAUACUACCCAAGGCUUCAGAGUCAUUGGAUUGCAGGAUGCAGUGACUUAUGAUGAUGUGCGUGUGAACUUCACUGAGGAAGAGUGGGAUUUGCUGGAUCCUUCCCAGAAAAGUCUCUAUGAAGAGGUGAUGCUAGAGACAUACCAGAACAUCACUGCUAUAGGCUACAAUUGGGAAGACCAUCAUAUUGAAGAACAUUGUCAAAGUUCUAGAAGACAUGAAAGGCAUGAAAGAAUUCAUAUUGGAGAGAAACCGUAUGAACGUAACCAAUGGGCUGAACUUGGUCACAUGUAAGAAUCAUCCAGGUGGUACUGGUUUUGAAGGCAUGACGGUGUCAUGAGGAGCAGCUGAGGCUUGGACCAAUGAAGGGAGCAUAAGUGAGACUAUCAGUGAAGCCUAGUUGCAGGAGAAGAACCCAACAUAUUGAAGAUGCCAGUCCAAUGGGAUGAGCAGAAAGAACAGCCCAGUAGAGUGGAGUCAACCAGAGCUUAGAGUGAUACAGAGGUCAGAGCUAGAGAAGUGACCUUAUCUCUUUGGAGGACUGCAGAAGAUCAUGUGUGGAUCCAAGACAUUGGAGCAAGAAGCUGUAACACUGAGGUUACCUUCCAGACCCCAAGAUCUUUGAGAUGUCAGAGCUGUGGGGUACCUGCUCAGGAAAACCAGCCAAAGAGAAAGAAUUGUGCUGCAGUUAACAAAGCAUAAAAGGAGUUGGAGAUCUAAAGAAUGCUUUAACAUGACACAUGGAGAUGCAGUUUCAAGAUUUCCAAGUUGACUUUUGGUUUUGUUUUCGUCCAGUAAUUCCUCAUGAUGACAUUUUGGAAUGGUGAAGUCUAUGUUGUGAAGUUGGAAUUAUAUGAUCUGCAUUUAGAUUUUUCUUUUUUAGGGGAUUACAGUUACAUUGAAUGAAUCUCAGAAGAGACUUUGACCUUUGGACUUUUAACGUAUUUGAGACUGGUAUAGAUGAUGGGGACUUUUGAGGUUGGACCUCGUGUAUUUUUCAUUAUGCAUGUUUAAAUAUGUUCCUUAUACAUUCCUGUACUCCAACAUGCUUAAGGGGGCCAGUGAGUGGAAUGUGGGAGUUUGAAUAUGCUUGUGACAGGGAGUGACUCUAUUCAGAGGUGUGACCUUGUAGGAGAAAGUGGAUAUCUCUGGGGGUGGACUUUGAAGCUCCACCAAGUGCAAAACAGACCCUCCUAUUCCCUCUCUGGAAGACAGUUUCUUCCUGGCUGCCUUUGGAUCAAAAUGCAGAACUCUCAGCUCCUUCUCCAGCAUCAUGUCUGCCUGCAUGCUGCUGUGCUUCCUCUGAAACUGUAAGCCAGCCCCAAUUAAAGGUUUGCUUUUAUGAGA